UCUUCGAUAGUAUAGUGGUGAGUAUCUCCGCCUGUCACGCUGAAGACUGGGGUUCAAUUCCCCGUCGAGGAG
This 72-nucleotide transfer RNA is filed under the name Saccoglossus kowalevskii. RNAcentral describes it as "tRNA-Asp". It matches the Rfam family "tRNA". From Rfam's summary of the family: Transfer RNA (tRNA) molecules are approximately 80 nucleotides in length. Their secondary structure includes four short double-helical elements and three loops (D, anti-codon, and T loops). Lineage: Eukaryota; Metazoa; Hemichordata; Enteropneusta; Harrimaniidae. The record is from RNAcentral.